CUUGCACAAUGGAGGAAACUCUGAUGCAGCGACGCCGCGUGAGCGAAGAAGCCUUUCGGGGUGUAAAGCUCUUACGCCAGGGACGAUAAUGACGGUACCUGGCGAAGCAGCUGCGGCUAACUACGUGCCAGCAGCCGCGGUAAUACGUAGGCAGCAAGCGUUGUUCGGAAUUACUGGGCGUAAAGGGUGCGUAGGCGGCGCUCUAAGUUUGGUGUGAAAUCUCCCGGCUUAACUGGGAGGGUGCACUGAAAACUGGGGCGCUCGAGUAUGGGAGAGGAAAGCGGAAUUCCUGGUGUAGCGGUGAAAUGCGUAGAGAUCAGGAGGAACACCUGCGGUGCAGACGGCUUUCUGGACCAUCACUGACGCUGAGGCACGAAAGCGUGGGUAGCAAACA
Molecule: ribosomal RNA, 394 nt
Filed under: uncultured bacterium
Lineage: Bacteria
Description: bacterial SSU rRNA
Rfam family: Bacterial small subunit ribosomal RNA
Source: RNAcentral